Lemur catta (Ring-tailed lemur) is the source of this 754-nucleotide long non-coding RNA. RefSeq lists it as uncharacterized. NCBI's taxonomy places the organism in Eukaryota, Metazoa, Chordata, Mammalia, Primates, Lemuridae. The record is from RefSeq and is a predicted model, not a curated record. The transcript is spliced from 4 exons.
AAAAUCAGCAACAGGUAGCAGCACAGCAUCCAAAGCCACCCACCUCCAAGCUUUCCCUUGGGCUGAACUGAGUUUGGGUUCCUGUCUGUUCACAAGAUGAUGUCAACCUGUGUGGCACCCAGAAGACUCACCAACCCCUGAGAGAGUAGCCAACCAUGAGUGCCAGGUAAAGGCAUGGCCCCCUCGGGUGCUCACACCGCUUCAAGAUUUCACUUGGUCGGAACAGUGAGUGCCUGGUGGGACUGGUCUGGAAGAUGGAGAUAUGACAAGCAGUGGCAUCCACAGCCAAAGAAAACAUGUUAUGGUACUGCUGCUGUUGGAGGCAUUCUUGCACCUCUUAGAUGAUGCUGACACUACCCCUCAUGAUGUCAAUGCUUGCUAAAUGAUAAGAUGUUCUGGAUGGCUCGCAAGCCAGGCCUCUGCAGCUUGCUCCCUUUGCUAAGUUGACGGACACUAAUGAUUACAUAUGGACAGACCAAAAGUCUGGACUGACUUGGUUUCGUGACAAAACCAAGCCCUGUAUCUGCCAGAACUGGACCAAAGGCCUUUUGUAUCAAAUAUUUCACAACCUGUUUUGUUCUCACAGACUGGCAGGGACACAUGGAGAUGAAACUGUCCAUAUUAAAGUACUGUGAAGCCACAAAGUAUAAAUAGUAAUCCAGGUCUCAUUUUCAUAGAAGUACAGAUACAGACAGAAAUCAAAGAGCCAUUGUUCCCUAACUUCCUUGCUGCUGCAAAGGGUUACUACUUAAUU